AACGCGAAAGUYCCCUUCGGGGGGCRAGUAGAGUGGCGCACGGGUGAGUAACACGUAGGUAAUCUACCUUUGGAUKGGGAAUAACCACCGGAAACGGUGGCUAAUACCGMAUAAUGCAGCGGCACCUAAUGGUGACAGUUGUUAAAGCGGGGGAUCGYAAGACCUCGCGUCUGAAGAGGAGCCUGCGGCAGAUUAGCUAGUUGGUAAGGUAACGGCUUACCAAGGCGAUGAUCUGUAGCCGGCCUGAGAGGGCGGUCGGCCACACUGACACUGACAUACGGGUCAGACUCCUACGGGAGGCAGCAGUCGGGAAUUUUGGGCAAUGGGCGMAAGCCUGACCCAGCAACGCCGCGUGAAGGAUGAAAUCCYUCGGGAUGUAAACUUCGCAAGAACGGGAAGAAUAAGUAAGRGUUAAUAUCYCUUAYGAUGACGGUACUGUUUGUAAGCUCCGGCUAACUCCGUGCCAGCAGCCGCGGUAAUACGGGGGGAGCAAGCGUUGUUCGGAUUUACUGGGCGUAAAGGGCGCGUAGGCGGCYACCGCAAGUCGRYUGUGAAAUCUCCGGGCUUAACCCGGAAAGGUCARYCGAUACUGCGGGGCUAGAGUGCAGAAGGGGCAACUGGAAUUCUCGGUGUAGCGGUGAAAUGCGUAGAUAUCGAGAGGAACACCUGCGGCGAAGGCGGGUU
This 684-nucleotide ribosomal RNA is filed under the name uncultured bacterium. RNAcentral's name for it is "partial 16S ribosomal RNA". It matches the Rfam family "Bacterial small subunit ribosomal RNA", at positions 65 to 727 of the family's 1533-position model. The record is from RNAcentral.